This is a regulatory RNA element of 99 nucleotides. It matches the Rfam family "TPP riboswitch aptamer (THI element)". Rfam says of the family: Vitamin B(1) in its active form thiamin pyrophosphate (TPP) is an essential coenzyme that is synthesised by coupling of pyrimidine and thiazole moieties in bacteria. The previously detected thiamin-regulatory element, thi box was extended, resulting in a new, highly conserved RNA secondary structure, the THI element, which is widely distributed in eubacteria and also occurs in some archaea. The record is from Rfam.
UUGUGUUCUAAGGGGUGCUACAACAUGUGUUGUGGCUGAGAUCAUACCCAUAAACCUGAUCCGGACAAUGCCGGCGUAGGUAAAGGAUAAUCCCUUUAG